CCAGGCUAUAUUUCACUUAUAAACCCUGACAUACUGGUUGUACUCCUUCACUACACAAUUCUAUUUCUUGUCAGUUUAUGAAGUGAUGAAAAAUGCAUCAAUGUACAUCACGUUUGGGGGUAUAUACUGGUACCAUACUAAACAGAAUUGCCUUGGGUCCUGUAUGGCAACCACUCAGGCAGACAACUGGUCCAUGCCCACCUCUUCAAAGUAUCCAUCUACUGCAGCCAGGUUAUAUGAGGGUGUCUCCUUAGUGUUGUCCUGCUACAUACUGGAUCAUGCAAAGAAAUGCCACAGGGCCAAAAUUUCAAAACUGAUGCUCCCUCAGAAUGCAAGAAAUACUUAGUAUCUUAUACAAAGUCAUUCCAGCAGUACCCAAGGAUCCCCUGAACAGCCCUGGCACCAAAGAUAUUCAGUCGUUGUCUUAGGACACUGGUUAGCAUCCAAGACUCACGACCAUACUGAAAGACAGGAAGCACCAUGACCUUAACAAGACUUGAACUUUUGUCCUAAGACAUUGGCAUCGCUAAACACUAUCACUGACUGCAUGCUCCAAAAUCUCCUCCCAGGUCUCUUGAGCUCAAAGACCCAGAGACAUGAAUGUCACUGCUGAAAUAAGUGAUUGUCUCUUCAAGUUAAACACUUUAACUACAUACAGACACAUCUGAUGGCCAAAUCCAGGAAGUCAAAGCCUGGAUCUUAGUCUUAAUCCAGGACAAUCACAAAUGCAGACUCAAAUUCCUCACUUCUCAAGUGCUGCAAUCAUAGUAUCCAUUUAUUCCACAAAGAUCACAUCCAGUAUUGUUUGAAGUCAAAGUAAGUAGACCUUUCCUCAUCAAGAAAAGCACCCAAGUCAUUGGCGUCUACAAACCCUACCCAACAUCCAGUUUGCAAAAACACUGAACAGUGCAGUACCCAGAACACGUUCCCACUGAACACUAGUCUUAACUGGGAAAACUCAGUCUGCCUCUGAGUGCAGCACUCACAGUAGUGUAAUAAGCUGGCUAUGAUGUCCAGCAACAUCUAGGGGAUCCCACAAGUUCCCAGGAUGUUCCAGAGAGUAGUCCAACUGAUUACCAAAUGAAACACUUUGCAAAAAUCAACAUAGGCUGCAAAGAAGCACUGCCAAUAUGCACACUUGCCUUCUAAGAAUACUCGCAGAGCUAGAAUGCAGUCGAUGGUUGACUUCUUGGACAUGAAGCCAGACUGUUUCAGUCGCUGAGCAACAAGUAGCGGAACUGAAUCCUAUUAAGAAUAAUCCUUGUAAGCACCUUCCACGGCACUACAGUGAUGACCACAGUGCCUGAACUGCAUGUACCUUUCCAACAGAGAGAGCACUGUAAUACCCCUGUAGUUGUUGCAAUCCAUGUAAUCAUCCUUUCCUAUCCAGACUAGGAAAACAAGUCUUUUCUUCCAGAACAUACAGAUGAUACCCAUUUCAUAGAUUGUACAGUUGAGCCCAGUUAACCUCGCGCACGCAAGUCGCAAAUCAGCUUUACUCGCAGUCAAGUUGUGGACCCCAAAAAUUUAGACUACAAUGUGUGAUUUGGACCGUUUUUGCGAGGGAUCAUCAGUGCAGAUGAUUCUGGAUGACGAUUUCUUCUCCAGCUGCUGCAGGUCAGUAAUGAGGGCCAAUUCUGUGUGGAAGAGUCCUGACUAUUCUAAGUUUUUGGAUACGACUCUUUGGAUCCUUACUGCCAAUUCAGAUCGAGCUGGAAUUUAUACACGCAGCCGCCACACGUGCAAACUUCGAAUCGUCAGGAAUCUUCCGCACUGUCUGAAGCCCUAAUCGCUGACGUGCAGCAACCAGAGGAGGGAAAACAAAAUAUUCUGAACCCACUCCAGAUGAUGAAAUGGUAGUCCAGAAUCGUCCACAUUGACAAAGCCCUCAUCGCUGACCUGCAGGAGGAAGAAAAGGAUCCCGAACCCAUUCCAGAUGAAGAAAUCAUCACCAUCCAAGAAGGAGUCAUGCUUCAAAUGGUCAAAACUAUUAUAAUAUGGAAAGGUAAGCUGAUUAUAAGUUUUUUUUUUUUUUUGGUCAACUUGUGGUUUCAAGUAACUCGCGGUCCGAUUUUGUGGACCCCAACUUGUGCAAGUUAACGGGGCUUAACUGCCACUUCGUAAUGCCAGGGGAACAGCUCCAGGCACCUGGAAGAGAAUCCUGCUAUGACUUUAAGACAUCUACCUGGCAAUGGAGCUGUCUUAACAUCACAGCAGAGGGAUCAAAAGUAGCUGGCCCAAUGUGACAGUACAGCAGAGACAUCUAUCAGAACUUUACUGUCUUCCACCAUAACUACAGUGGGAUGAGGUGUAAGUGUUGAGGAACAAAGUGCUUUGAUUUCCCUGCAAGCAGGUUGAGGGACACUACACUACAGAUGGCGAGUUAUGAAACACCUCCAAUCGACGCUUGUGACUCCAAUACAAUCAGCAAAUUUCAAAGUGGAUACAGAGAAACUCACAUAAUCCAUUCAAAUCAGGAGUUGUGUCCAUGUCUGCAACUUCUCCAGACUGAUUACGCAAAAAUUCAUGAGAAACAGCCUGAGCUUGACGUCUUGCUAGAUCACCCAAUUUAAUGUUGGGCACAGAACAGGGUAGUCUGCAAGACUUUAACUGAAUCCUCAAGGAAAAUGCACAAGUCUGUGGCCAGAAUUCACAAACCGGAUACUUAGACCCUGCAGUUCUGCAGAAUUCUUUCCCACUUUCCCACAAGAACAUGGUCAGUCUCUUGGCAAUACUGUCAGUAUUAAAAUACCAUGUCCAGCGUGGUACAUUUAGACAAUGAAACCAGAAUCCAGCAACUCGGUGCUCCCGACCUGUUGCAAAGUGAAGGAGCAUUCAGUCAUUUCACCAUUUCACUUUUCAAUCAGCAAGUGAAGCUGUCAAUAAAAGGGUUUCUUCAGAGACAUCACUCACUGCAGACUGUGCUCCCAGGCACAAACAUCCAGUGCAUAUUAAAUCUGAGCCUCUUAAUACACUCACUGACUGGUACUAUAUCAAACACCACUGGAAAGAGCAGUAAAAGAUGGUCAUACUCAGAUUAUAAGCCUGUUCCAGGUGCCCACCGACAUGAGUGGCCUCAGGUUUGGACCUAGAUGCAGCUAUGCUAGCUAUGCUUACCCUAGGGCAAAAAAAAACAAAACGAAAAAAACCCCAACAAAACAAAACAAAACAGGGAAAGUAUUCAAACAGCCUGAGUGCACCAGCACAUUAAGGUGUGCUACCAUAACCCGAGCAAUCUAACAACAGGCAACAAACAGUGAACUGACAAAUGCUUCAAAUCAUCAAAUUCCAACUGUGGUGUUGCAAAUUAGAAACAAAAGUUAAAUACUGAAAACAUGAGAGGAACACAGUAAUAUAUUUAAACAUUUCAAAAAUAUAGUGAUCAGUUAUGAUUUCGUAAUAAAAAAAGUUACAGUCUACAUUUGUACCAUAAAAAACAAAACAAAAACAAACAAAAAGCCAAGACUUUGGAAAACACAAAAGGCAAAGCACUUAUUUGAACAUCUUGCUGCAAGUUGGGAUGGACUGUUACAAAUCCAUAGAUGCCCACAGCGUUCUUCAGCCAGUCAGGCUGCUCCACUGUGGCAGCUCAGUCACAGCUUUGCACAUCACCAAGAGUGCCAAUUACUACAAUGCUUUUAAAGUGAACAGCUGAGGAGACGCAUUUUUCAAACUAUCACCAUGCAUUUUGUCUCAACAUUUAAAUACAAAAUCUAAAUGUAACUCGGUUAGCCUAAAAUUUGCCUUCAUUGCUAUGACUUUCUGCCUUCUCUGUGCAUUUAGAAUACAUUUUAACGUUGUUCAUAUAAUGUUCCUUUUUGCUUGCAGUUUUAAUAGUCUUGCAGACCUAGCUGUAGACAGCGUACAUCCACAUGCAAAAAAAUCACUGUGGGCUGUGCACAUAAAUAAGAAGUUGACCUAUAUGAGCAAUACAAACAAAAAUAACAAUGAGGUGUGAAUGUUCUAUUUAAAAAAA
Molecule: long non-coding RNA, 3976 nt
Organism: Thalassophryne amazonica
Lineage: Eukaryota; Metazoa; Chordata; Actinopteri; Batrachoidiformes; Batrachoididae
Exons: 2
Source: RefSeq, a predicted model, not a curated record